Molecule: ribosomal RNA, 672 nt
Filed under: Triticum aestivum (bread wheat)
Lineage: Eukaryota; Viridiplantae; Streptophyta; Magnoliopsida; Poales; Poaceae
Description: partial small subunit ribosomal RNA
Source: RNAcentral
AUGCUGGGAGGUCACCUUUGUCAUAUAGACCAAGCUGAACGUUUUUUGGGUUUUGAUACAGCCAACCCCUCCAGUUUUGUGGUGGUCGUGCCCCUGGCAACUUGUUUUGAUGUAAUCAAAGAAGUGGCGAUCUACUCAUCGGAAACUGGACGAUGGACUUUUGCGCUGAAUGAGUGGAGACGCGACGCUAUGGUUCGUGGUGAUCAAUCUGCCAUCUUUCUGAAUGGAAUUGUGCAUUUGACUACCUUCGAUUCUUCAAUAGUAACAGUGGACAGCGAGGGAAAGAUUUGGAGAGAAAUUAGAGCGCCAUACUUGUCGGCUGCCAUUGGACUGUCUCAGGGAUGCUUGCAUGCUUGGAAUGUAGAUGAUCGUUGCCAACUCUUCGUUUGGGUUCUUGAGGAUUAUGCUAGCGGAAAAUGGACACUAAAGCACACUGCUAAUGUUUUGGGACUGUUCGGAAGGUAUUCUCGCAAAGAUGACGAGUCCUACAAGAUGCUGGCAAUUCAUCCAGAUUGUAAUUCAUUUUUCCUUACUGAUGGGAAGAUGACAGUCUUAUACAAUAUGGAUAAUCAGAAACUGCAAGUUAUCAGCGCUUCCCAGGAAUUCGUGGGUUGUGUGCCUUAUAUUCCUUGUUUUGCAAAAUGGCCCUCAGUAAUAGUAGCGCCCUCAUAA